Molecule: ribosomal RNA, 315 nt
Filed under: Triticum aestivum (bread wheat)
Lineage: Eukaryota; Viridiplantae; Streptophyta; Magnoliopsida; Poales; Poaceae
Description: partial small subunit ribosomal RNA
Source: RNAcentral
AUGUUCACCAUGUACCGCCAAGACAAUAGCGACCAAGAGUUCAAGUUACUCCAUGUGUUCUCCCGGAUCGAGAAGUGCGAGAAGUGGAUCCAUGUCCAGGGUACGCUCGCCAAGGUGAAGGAGACGUACAAGCCGGAUGCGCUCGCCCCGGGCCCAAGGGACGGGAGCCCUGACAUCAACAAAAGAGCCAAGACGGCGAAGGACGCCGCUCCGGCUACCGAGUGGCUGCACUCGUCGAUCGAGAGUGCAUCGCAGACGCCAAGAACCAUGCCGCGGAAAGGGAGGAGAAGUCCGAUGCAUGGUGGUUGGUAUUGA